This 492-nucleotide ribosomal RNA is filed under the name uncultured bacterium. RNAcentral's name for it is "partial 16S ribosomal RNA". It matches the Rfam family "Bacterial small subunit ribosomal RNA", at positions 29 to 507 of the family's 1533-position model. The record is from RNAcentral.
AGUGAACGCUGGCGGUAGGCCUAACACAUGCAAGUCGAACGGCAGCACAGUAAGAGCUUGCUCUUACGGGUGGCGAGUGGCGGACGGGUGAGGAAUACAUCGGAAUCUACUUUUUCGUGGGGGAUAACGUAGGGAAACUUACGCUAAUACCGCAUACGACCUACGGGUGAAAGCAGGGGAUCUUCGGACCUUGCGCGAUUGAAUGAGCCGAUGUCGGAUCAGCUAGUUGGCGGGGUAAAGGCCCACCAAGGCGACGAUCCGUAGCUGGUCUGAGAGGAUGAUAAGCCACACUGGAACUGAGACACGGUCCAGACUCCUACGGGAGGCAGCAGUGGGGAAUAUUGGACAAUGGGCGCAAGCCUGAUCCAGCCAUACCGCGUGGGUGAAGAAGGCCUUCGGGUUGUAAAGCCCUUUUGUUGGGAAAGAAAAGCAGCAGGUUAAUACCCCGCUGUUCUGACGGUACCCAAAGAAUAAGCACCGGCUAACUUCGUG